GGCUCCGCUCCACCGCGCGAGGCUGCGCGUCCUUCGCAGUGAGGUCCCGGCGCGGCCCGGCCCGUUCAUUUGAGGGCACGGAUGUUUCCAUGCAGGCGAGUUUGACAGCAGCCCUCAUACCAAGCUAUUAUGAAGUGUGAUGUCAGUGCGUUCUGGAGAGCGGAUAAUACAUAAGCCAGUCCUUGACACACUACCUUACAAGGGAAACAUCUGAGACCAUCAAAUCUACCCUACCGUAAGAGUAGAAAGCAGUACCUUUUUCGGAAGUCAUGGUUAGAGGGUGUUCUCUGGAGACUUGUCGUAUUUCCUUUGCCUUAAUUCAGUGGCUCUUGGCUUCCCCCCACUGCAGCAGCCUGGGUCAGAACAACUGAGUUAAGAUCUGGAGAUAACUGAGUUUUCCCUCUGGGGGACGGAAGGGGUAGGAGAAAGAAAACAAAAUCGGUUUUACUGUGCAGCCAAAGGACUACUCCAGAUGCUAACGAGGCUUCUAAUGUGAGGAAAAACACAGAAUGACAAGUGUGGGAAAGAGCAAGCACUAAAUUACUGUCAGAAAAAUAAACGGAGUAGCACAGUGGUGCUCGGUGAUUUACGGGGGCAAUUAGUCACCACCCCACGGCGCUGCUGAGGACAGCACGGCAGCAGACGCGUCAGGCCCGAGAGGAAGAAGAGGCUUUGCACUGCUCUCCAGACAACUUUUCAAACAACGAGAGAGGAUAUUUGAGCACAUUAGGUUCCGUGUCUUCAUUCUGGGUACCCACCCUUCACAUGAUUCAACCAACCUCAUACAUAAAUAUAUUUUUAGCACAAUAUUAACCUGUUCUGUGUAUGUUAAAAAGCCUCCAACUGCAGCUUUUUUCUCUCCCACUGUCCAAAGUAGGUUUUCCCCCAUCCCUUGAAAAACAAAACAAAAAAACCUUUCCCCACUCCCAAAUCGUCCCACUGGUGCAUGCCUUCCAUCUGUCUCGUUACUUCUAGCAUCUUGCUACCAUGUUUUGCAUUUGCUCAGAGCCACUGGGUGCUAAGGAAUUUGGUCUGCAGCUCACAUCCCGGGAAGUUUGGUUAUUAAACACAGAGUAAAUAAAAAGCAUAGAUAAACUUCACAAUGUUUGUUUACCUGCUCUUUACUAUACUGUAGGUAGGGCCUGUAUAUCUGUACCUAGCAAAAUAAACCUACUAAAAUAUAAACUGGUACACAUUCCUGAAUAGGAAUUCUUCUCCAUCAGAAGAAAUCUCCAGUGGAAGUCCGGGAAAGAACCCAGGACCGAUGAAGGCUUGAGUGACUAAAUGCUGUGUGUGCAUGUGUGUGAGUGUAUGUGUGUGUGUCGGGGUCAUAGCAAGGCAACUAAGGUGAGCAGAUGAAGCUGCAUCCAGGGUUCAGUAUCCUUAGGUAGUGCUAGCCAAGAAUGCUGCCAUCUUCCAUUUCUGAAGCACUUUACAGAGGGCAUUUGGAAUUCCUUUUCUCAUUUGAUCUUCCUUUGGCUUGAGUUAGGAGCACCUGCUCAGUUAGAAAUGUGUUCAGCGAGUAUGUGCACAGUUGGAGAAUGUGACCCAACACAUGCCACCUUGGCCUGUUAGCUGGAGUCCUAAAGAGGCAGAAUCGUGUUGAUGAGCUGGUGCCGGCAGGAUGCACCAUUCAACUGGACACUUAAUUUCUGACAAAGAGAGUCACAACUGGGAAAAAUGCAGACUUCACUGACUAAUCUCCAUGCUAUUAGGGUCCCCCACCUUGAAUUCUAUAAGCACAGUGUGCCUUUUGAAACAAAAAAUAAUACAAUAUUGAAAUACAUAUUUGCGACUGCAGUAGCACUGGUCUUCAACUACCCUGUUAAAAAAUGCAAGCCCACCCAGGAAAGGAGGCAGAUGAGUUUCUCUGCAGCAUCGCAGGCAUAUGAAAUCAUGCAGAUGUUAUUGAAUACCAGAAGUGAGCCUAUUUUAAACCACUUCAUGCAUUUUUUCAGAGCUCUUUUCUGAAGUCAUAUUUGUAGUUUCUGAUUGACACAAUUUGGAAAAUUACAUAUAAAAUAAAAUUUAAGGUAUAAAAUUUCUGUAUUUCUGAUAAAUUUUAUGUUCCUUGGUUUUUUUUUAUAUACAUGUUAUUUUUGUUUAGAAAUUAUGAGCUAGUUAAAAGUGAAAAUGACUUUGGCUAAGGUACUUAUUUAUUAAUAGAAAUAAUAACCUUUUUAUAUCUGGGUUCAAAUAUCUUCUGUGCUAAUCAUUCUGUACGUUUCUAAGAGAGGAUUUGGAUUGAGCGAAAGAGGAGGGUGGAGCUUCCUCAUGCCCCUGUGUUGUGUGGAAUCUUUAUGUAAUACUCUGACUUAGCUGUAUUCUGUAAUUCCUGGCUAUUUCGGUAGGGACUGUAAUUUUAGAUUAAUAGUUAUAAUUUUCAUAAGGUAGACAUGAAAAGUUAUAUGCUCCUGCUUAAAAGGAGGGUCAUUAAAUAUUCAUUAUAACCCCUGAAAAUAGUUGUCAUGCUCUGUAUAACAGUUACCUGUUAUCACUUCAGUAGUUUAGAUUCAGUAAUAUUUAGCUCACAUCAGUAGAGGAAUUUUUGUUGGGGAACAGAGAGAAAUGAUCUUAAAACCCAUUUGACAUAUUUAUGUUGACAAAUUAUUUAAAGGAAUUACUGCUUUGUCAAUAAACAUGUUUGUGUA
Molecule: long non-coding RNA, 2651 nt
Organism: Talpa occidentalis (Iberian mole)
Lineage: Eukaryota; Metazoa; Chordata; Mammalia; Eulipotyphla; Talpidae
Exons: 6
Source: RefSeq, a predicted model, not a curated record